Molecule: long non-coding RNA, 2164 nt
Filed under: Marmota monax (woodchuck)
Lineage: Eukaryota; Metazoa; Chordata; Mammalia; Rodentia; Sciuridae
Source: RNAcentral
UAGGCCAGGUGGGAAUGCGGGCGAAUUGCUUUUUGGCAAAGAAAGUAAAGUGGGGGUCAGCACAGUGGGCCCAUUUUAUUUAUUAUUUAUUUAUUUAUUAUUAUUUAUUUAUUAUUUUCUUAACCUGGCGUUCCCACCAUUCUCACCUAUCUGUUCCGUUACAGAGAUAGGACCCAACCGGAGGACCAGUCUGGCCCUGGUCUCCAUCCUGCAGGAGCCCUGAGGAGCGCGCGCCGGGUUGGACUGGACAGCAUCCCCACUGCUUUGUGCUGAGGAGACCUGUAGUGCCCCAGGGCGACCUGACGCUCUUCAGGGAGCCAAUGCUGGACUGCAGGAGGAAGAGCCCAGCAGGCCAGCUCCCGCCCACCCCAACCAAGGAGCAGAGUCUUGCAGAUGGGGUUUCCUGCUGGCCACUCUUCGGCUGCCACCCUGCCUUUCCCCGCGGCUUGCUGGCACGCUCACUUACGGAGGCGCUCUUGGUAGGGUGGGGACUGUCCUGGGUAUGGACAGUUCUCCCACACUAACUGUCCACACCCAGGACAAUCUCCACCCCACCGAGAGCACCUCCGGAAAGUCCUGAUAACUCUAGUUUUCUUCGGAGCGUGUAAAUCUAUUUGGCCUUUUACCCAAAAGCGCCCUGAGUCCUCCUCCCUAGGCAGACCCGGCACCGCUGCCCUUCCAGAGCGCCGAGGCGCGCGGGCAAAGCACCUGCGCCUUGCAGUGGGAGGGGCGCCCGGGACGCUCAGCCAGGCAGCUUCUGGCUGCGGGGCGGUGAGCAGGGCGUGGCGACCCCUGCCGGCCCGAGUAGGCUGGGGCGGGCCCUGGGGGGCGUCUCUCAGGGCCAGGUCUGGAAGCGCGGAGAGGCUUGGUCCAUCUGCGCAGCCAGGUGCGAGCUGCCGGCGGUUGGGUAAAGUGUCACUACCGAGCCCAGGCCGAGCGCUAUAGGAAUUUCAAACGCUUUACAAGUGUUGUGGUCUUCACUACUCCUUGAAUUAGCCCGCUCCUUCCCUCGCUGGAGUCCAGAGCCUCUCCUCUGCACCCCGCCCUCUGCAGGAGCCCUCCACCAGGCUUUGCACCUGGAGCCUGACGACACCUGCUUCUCGCCUCCGCCCCGUCCCGGCGACUUGCUGCCUCUCUUGGGCACGUGGGGACCAGCGGAUUCUGACAGCUCUGGGUGGAAGAAAGUGGAGGCUGCAGGACCUGGGGCCAUCUGGAGAAGGGGACACGGGACAGCACCUUUCCUCAGCUGCGGAACCACCCACCAGAGACCAAGGUGCUGGAGCAACGAGGGUAAAUGGCCAAAUCCUGUCUCACCCAGGAACAGAUCAGGCCAGAGCUCAGUGUGGGUACGGCCUGACCUCGGAGCCUGGUUCCCUUGAGCUGAGGAGCAGUUACAUCUUGGUGGUAAACAGUGGGAUCCUUGGGGAAAUGCUUUCUGAAAAAACACACUUGCACAGAAAGGAGAGAAAGCCUGUGAACCUGUAAAAGAAUAAAGACUGCUUUUCAUUUUUGUGGCAAAUCUGUGAAGGUGAAUGAAUCCCAGAGAACUCACCUGCCUAGGCACACCUGCUGCCUGGAUGUUUUCUCAGGGAGCCUGCACGGCAGGUUUGAGAGGACGGGAAGGGGGAACUGGGCCAGAUCCAGGCCGACCUGAGGGCCGGGGAAAGAGCCUGGAAAGAACCGCCCUAGAGAGGACCGGAAGCAGGUUCUCCAGAAGCACUGCCAGCCCCACUGGAGGAGCAGUCUCUGUGAAGAAAGUAACUUCAGCCACAUCCAGGCCAUCUGGGCUGGAGAUGCAGGAUAGGUCCAGGGUCAGGCGACAGGGGCUCACUCCUAUCUGAAGACCUCGCCUGGGCUCCCUAACCCUGGUUGACCUUCUCACAACAGGCCCCGGGCCAUCCAACUAAUGAACCACUGAAAUGGAGAGCUGCCUCUAGCUGCACUUUGGCCCUUGUGGGGAAGAUAAGAGAAGACAAGGUCUUCUGGACUUAGGAGGAAGAAGAGGGUGGCAGGGUCCAGGGUCCGAAGGGUCCAUGUGACUUGGACCAAAGUUCUCUGCCAAGAAGGCAGCUGGCCACAGUGCCUUCCCCUCUAUCCCAGGGGCAGUCCAGACAUAGGCCAAAGAGUAAGGCCAAGUUUGGGGGAAACAAGGUUUAUAAUCCAG